Molecule: non-coding RNA, 227 nt
Organism: Ceratotherium simum simum (southern white rhinoceros)
Lineage: Eukaryota; Metazoa; Chordata; Mammalia; Perissodactyla; Rhinocerotidae
Source: RefSeq, a predicted model, not a curated record
GUGGGGUGUACAGAGUGGUUAUAUACCGUCAAAGAGCAUGUAUCACAUAUGAUUGCAAUGUCCCUUUUACAAUAGUCUCAAGAUUGCCCUGUCGGCACAACAACUGAUGGACACAGCAGGUAGCAGAUCUGUGGUCUCCAGCUGGGUAGUCACAGAGUGAGCACAGCAAUCAAUUCCUAGCCUAGGGAGAGAUGCUUAUCCUUAAGGAAAUGCUGUUGUGGGGGAAG